AGCGCUUUGGCAGUGUGGUUAGCUGGUUGUGUAACAUCAUUUAAAAUCACAGCCACUACCCACAUGCCGCGGCGAU
Non-coding RNA from Glossina brevipalpis, 76 nucleotides. The record is from Rfam. Lineage: Eukaryota; Metazoa; Arthropoda; Insecta; Diptera; Glossinidae.